CCUACGGGUGGCAGCAGUGAGGCAUAUUGGUCAAUGGACGAGAGUCUGAACCAGCCAAGCCGCGUGAAGGAUGACUGCCCUAUGGGUUGUAAACUUCUUUUAUAUGGGGAUAAAACAGGGUAUGCAUACCCACUUGUAAGUACCAUACGAAUAAGGAUCGGCUAACUCCGUGCCAGCAGCCGCGGUAAUACGGAGGAUACGAGCGUUAUCCGGAUUUAUUGGGUUUAAAGGGAGCGUAGGUGGAUUGAUAAGUCAGUUGUGAAAGUUUGGGGCUCAACCGUAGAACUGCAGUUGAAACUGGCAGUCUUGAGUAUAGUAGAGGUGGGCGGAAUGCGUGGUGUAGCGGUGAAAUGCUUAGAUAUCACGAAGAACUCCGAUUGCGAAGGCAGCUCACAGGACUACAACUGACACUGAUGCACGAAAGUGUGGGUAUCAAACAGGAUUAGAUACCCGUGUAGUC
This 460-nucleotide ribosomal RNA is filed under the name uncultured bacterium. RNAcentral's name for it is "partial 16S ribosomal RNA". It matches the Rfam family "Bacterial small subunit ribosomal RNA", at positions 338 to 795 of the family's 1533-position model. The record is from RNAcentral.